Long non-coding RNA from Capsicum annuum, 718 nucleotides. RefSeq lists it as uncharacterized. The record is from RefSeq and is a predicted model, not a curated record. NCBI's taxonomy places the organism in Eukaryota, Viridiplantae, Streptophyta, Magnoliopsida, Solanales, Solanaceae. The transcript is spliced from 3 exons.
CAUAUGCUCCCACAUAAAUCCCUUUACUUUUAAUUUUCUCUCUUUUAAUCAUUACACAUGUGAAACAUUGACUUUGGCAAAAAAAGUAGUACAAUAUUUUUGAGGCUCAUAUAAUUGGAUAGAUUUCAAUAGAUUCUGCUCUGAAUAUUGAAAGAAAAUAGAAUAAUCUAUAGAUUUUGUGUAUUAGCUGCUUAGUCCUGCUUCAUUUUUUGGUGUGAUUGACUUGCUUUCAAGAUGAUGAUAUUUGAGGAAAUGGGGUUCUGUGGAGAUCUUGAUUUCUUCCCUGCUCCGCUAAAGAAAGUGGAAGUGAAAGUGGUUGCCCCACAGAAUCAGAUUGAGCCGGAUUCUAUGGUGGAUGAUGAUUAUAGUGAUGAGGAGAUUGAUGUUGAUGAGCCUAACUUUGAUGUUCAUGAUCAAUUCUAUUUUCUGAGCUUAUAUUCUAUGCUAUGUAUUGAUUUAUCGUAAACAUGACUGCAAGUAGGUGUUGAGGGCGUCUUCUAUGAAUGAAUUGGAAAUUGAUGCUUAUAUGAGAAGUGGGUGUUGAAGGCAUCUUAUCCUUAUUCAUACUCCUUAUACAUAUAUUGUGGGUGUGUAUAUACUAUGUAAUUUGGCAACUAUUAUAGUAAAUAAUUGUUGAAACGUAAUGUGUAUUACACAAUUAUACAUUAAAUAUACUAUUAUACUUUAUUAACAUGCAUGAUGUUUUACUAACAACAAU